GCAGCGCAGGUAGCAAUACUGGGCGGCGACCGGCAAACGGGUGCGGAACACGUACACAACCUUCCGAGAAGUGGGGAAUAGCCCAGAGAAAUUUGGAUUAAUACCCCGUAACAUAACGAUGUGGCAUCACAUUGUUAUUAUAGCUUCGGCGCUUCUUGAUGGGUGUGCGGCUGAUUAGAUAGUUGGCGGGGUAACGGCCCACCAAGUCUACGAUCAGUAGCUGAUGUGAGAGCAUGAUCAGCCACACGGGCACUGAGACACGGGCCCGACUCCUACGGGAGGCAGCAGUAAGGAAUAUUGGUCAAUGGACGCAAGUCUGAACCAGCCAUGCCGCGUGAAGGAUUAAGGUCCUCUGGAUUGUAAACUUCUUUUAUCUGGGACGAAAAAAGGCGAUUCUUCGUCACUUGACGGUACCAGAUGAAUAAGCACCGGCUAACUCCGUGCCAGCAGCCGCGGUAAUACGGAGGGUGCAAGCGUUAUCCGGAUUCACUGGGUUUAAAGGGUGCGUAGGCGGGCAGGUAAGUCAGUGGUGAAAUCCUAGAGCUUAACUCUAGAACUGCCAUUGAUACUAUCUGUCUUGAAUAUUGUGGAGGUAAGCGGAAUAUGUCAUGUAGCGGUGAAAUGCUUAGAUAUGACAUAGAACACCUAUUGCGAAGGCAGCUUACUACGCAUAUAUUGACGCUGAGGCACGAAAGCGUGGGGAUCAAACAGGAUUAGAUACCCUGGUAGUC
RNAcentral lists this ribosomal RNA (731 nucleotides) under uncultured bacterium. RNAcentral's name for it is "bacterial SSU rRNA". It matches the Rfam family "Bacterial small subunit ribosomal RNA", at positions 69 to 795 of the family's 1533-position model. The record is from RNAcentral.